This 499-nucleotide ribosomal RNA is filed under the name uncultured bacterium. Its description in RNAcentral is "bacterial SSU rRNA". It matches the Rfam family "Bacterial small subunit ribosomal RNA", at positions 254 to 744 of the family's 1533-position model. The record is from RNAcentral.
GAGGUAACUGCUCACCAAGGCUACGAUCUAUAGCUGGUUUGAGAGGACGACCAGACACACUGGGACUGAGACACGGCCCGGACUCCUACGGGAGGCAGCAGUGGGGAAUUGUUCGCAAUGGGCGCAAGCCUGACGACGCAACGCCGCGUGGAGGAUGAAGAUUUUCGGAUCGUAAACUCCUGUCGAAUGGGACGAAAGGGUCACGGUUUAAUACGCCGUGAUCCUGACGGUACCGUUAAAGGAAACCCCGGCUAACUCCGUGCCAGCAGCCGCGGUAAUACGGGGGGGGUAAGCGUUGUUCGGAAUUACUGGGCGUAAAGGGCUCGUAGGCGGCCAACUAAGUCAGACGUGAAAUCCCUCAGCUUAACUGGGGAACUGCGUCUGAUACUGGAUGGCUUGAGUUUGGGAGAGGGAUGCGGAAUUCCAGGUGUAGCGGUGAAAUGCGUAGAUAUCUGGAGGAACACCGGUGGCGAAGGCGGCAUCCUGGACCAACACUGAC